Molecule: ribosomal RNA, 845 nt
Filed under: uncultured bacterium
Lineage: Bacteria
Description: bacterial SSU rRNA
Rfam family: Bacterial small subunit ribosomal RNA
Source: RNAcentral
CAUGCAAGUCGCAGGGUAACAUGAGGAAAGCUUGCUUUUCUUGAUGACGACUGGCGCACGGGUGAGUAACGCGUAUCCAACCUUCCCAUAACUACGGGAUAACCCGUUGAAAGACGGCCUAAUACCGUAUGACAUCGUUUGCUGACAUCAAAUAACGAUUAAAGGUUUAGCGGUUAUGGAUGGGGAUGCGUCUGAUUAGCUUGUUGGCGGGGUAACGGCCCACCAAGGCGACGAUCAGUAGGGGUUCUGAGAGGAAGGUCCCCCACAUUGGAACUGAGACACGGUCCAAACUCCUACGGGAGGCAGCAGUGAGGAAUAUUGGUCAAUGGGCGAGAGCCUGAACCAGCCAAGUAGCGUGCAGGAUGACGGCCCUAUGGGUUGUAAACUGCUUUUAUGUGGGGAUAAAGUGCGUGACGUGUCAUGCAUUGCAGGUACCACAUGAAUAAGGACCGGCUAAUUCCGUGCCAGCAGCCGCGGUAAUACGGAAGGUCCGGGCGUUAUCCGGAUUUAUUGGGUUUAAAGGGAGCGUAGGCUGUCUAUUAAGCGUGUUGUGAAAUUUACCGGCUCAACCGGUGGCUUGCAGCGCGAACUGGUCGACUUGAGUAUGCAGGAAGUAGGCGGAAUUCAUGGUGUAGCGGUGAAAUGCUUAGAUAUCAUGACGAACUCCGAUUGCGCAGGCAGCUUACUGUAGCAUAACUGACGCUGAUGCUCGAAAGUGCGGGUAUCAAACAGGAUUAGAUACCCUGGUAGUCCGCACGGUAAACGAUGGAUGCUCGCUAUUCGUCCUAUUUGGAUGAGUGGCCAAGUGAAAACAUUAAGCAUCCCACCUGGGGAGUACGCCGGCA